GAUGAACGCUGGCGGUGUGCCUAAUACAUGCAAGUCGAGCGAACAGACGAGGAGCUUGCUCCUCUGACGUUAGCGGCGGACGGGUGAGUAACACGUGGAUAACCUACCUAUAAGACUGGGAUAACUUCGGGAAACCGGAGCUAAUACCGGAUAACAUGUUGAACCGCAUGGUUCAACAGUGAAAGACGGUCUUGCUGUCACUUAUAGAUGGAUCCGCGCCGCAUUAGCUAGUUGGUAAGGUAACGGCUUACCAAGGCAACGAUGCGUAGCCGACCUGAGAGGGUGAUCGGCCACACUGGAACUGAGACACGGUCCAGACUCCUACGGGAGGCAGCAGUAGGGAAUCUUCCGCAAAGGGCGAAAGCCUGACGGAGCAACGCCGCGUGAGUGAAGAAGGUCUUCGGAUCGUAAAACUCUGUUAUUAGGGAAGAACAAAUGUGUAAGUAACUAUGCACGUCUUGACGGUACCUAAUCAGAAAGCCACGGCUAACUACGUG
This 497-nucleotide ribosomal RNA is filed under the name uncultured bacterium. RNAcentral describes it as "partial 16S ribosomal RNA". It matches the Rfam family "Bacterial small subunit ribosomal RNA", at positions 28 to 507 of the family's 1533-position model. The record is from RNAcentral.